GUCGUCAGCUCGUGUCGUGAGAUGUUGGGUUAAGUCCCGCAACGAGCGCAACCCUGCUUUAGUUGCCAUCAUUCAGUUGGGCACUCUAGCGAGACUGCCGGUAAUAAACCGGAGGAAGGUGGGGAUGACGUCAAAUCAUCAUGCCCCUUAUGACCUGGGCUACACACGUGCUACAAUGGUUGGUACAACGAGUUGCGAGUCGGUGACGGCGAGCUAAUCUCUUAAAGCCAAUCUCAGUUCGGAUUGUAGGCUGCAACUCGCCUACAUGAAGUCGGAAUCGCUAGUAAUCGCGGAUCAGCACGCCGCGGUGAAUACGUUCCCGGGCCUU
This 328-nucleotide ribosomal RNA is filed under the name uncultured Streptococcus sp. RNAcentral's name for it is "bacterial SSU rRNA". It matches the Rfam family "Bacterial small subunit ribosomal RNA", at positions 1051 to 1382 of the family's 1533-position model. The record is from RNAcentral. Lineage: Bacteria; Bacillati; Bacillota; Bacilli; Lactobacillales; Streptococcaceae.